UGGGGAAUAUUGCACAAUGGGGGAAACCCUGAUGCAGCGACGCCGCGUGGGUGAAGAAGUACUUCGGUAUGUAAAGCCCUAUCAGCAGGGAAGAAAGAGCGGAGGAAUCCGCUUGAGACAGUACCUGAAUAAGCAGCCCCGGCUAACUACGUGCC
This 155-nucleotide ribosomal RNA is filed under the name uncultured bacterium. RNAcentral's name for it is "partial 16S ribosomal RNA". It matches the Rfam family "Bacterial small subunit ribosomal RNA", at positions 355 to 509 of the family's 1533-position model. The record is from RNAcentral.